GUUGUAGUCUGGAGAAGUGCUUUCCGCGCUGGACCGUGUAUAAGUCUCUUGGAACAGAGCGUCGCAGAGGGUGAGAAUCCCGUCUUUGACACGGACUACCAGUGCUUUGUGAUGCGCUCUCAAAGAGUCGAGUUGUUUGGGAAUGCAGCUCAAAAUGGGUGGUAAAUUCCAUCUAAAGCUAAAUAUUGGCGAGAGACCGAUAGCGAACAAGUACCGUGAGGGAAAGAUGAAAAGCACUUUGGAAAGAGAGUUAAACAGUACGUGAAAUUGCUGAAAGGGAAACGCUUGAAGUCAGUCGUGUCUGCCGGAACUCAGCCUUGCUUUUUUCCGCUUGGUGCACUUUCCGGUUGGACGGGCCAGCAUCGAUUUUGACCGUCGGAGAAGGGCUGGAGAAAUGUGGCACCUUUUUUGGUGUGUUAUAGUCUUCAGUCGCAUGCGUCGGUUGGGAUCGAGGAACGCAGCGUGCGCCGCAAGGCGGAGGAGGAACCCCUUCACUAUUCGCGCUUAGGAUGCUGGCAUAAUGGCUUUAAACGACCCGUCUUGAAACACGGACCAAGGAGUCUAACAUACCUGCGAGUGUUUGGGUGGGAAAACCCGAGCGCGAAAUGAAAGUGAAAGUUGAGACCUCUGUCGUGGAGGGCAUCGACGCCCGGACCUGACGUUCUCUGACGGCUCCGCGGUAGAGCAUGUAUGUUGGGACCCGAAAGAUGGUGAACUAUGCCUGAAUAGGGUGAAGCCAGAGGAAACUCUGGUG
Molecule: ribosomal RNA, 754 nt
Filed under: Lignosus rhinocerus
Lineage: Eukaryota; Fungi; Basidiomycota; Agaricomycetes; Polyporales; Polyporaceae
Description: eukaryotic LSU rRNA
Rfam family: Eukaryotic large subunit ribosomal RNA
Source: RNAcentral